GUUUGAGGUUCUAACCUUGGCCCGUGAUCCGGGUCGGGGACAGUGCAUGGUAGGCAGUUUGACUGGGGCGGUCUCCUCCCAAAGCGUAACGGAGGAGUACGAAGGUACGCUAGGUACGGUCGGAAAUCGUGCUGAUAGUGCAAUGGCAUAAGCGUGCUUAACUGCGAGACCGACAAGUCGAGCAGGUGCGAAAGCAGGUCAUAGUGAUCCGGUGGUUCUGUAUGGAAGGGCCAUCGCUCAACGGAUAAAAGGUACUCUGGGGAUAACAGGCUGAUACCGCCCAAGAGUUCAUAUCGACGGCGGUGUUUGGCACCUCGAUGUCGGCUCAUCUCAUCCUGGGGCUGUAGCCGGUCCCAAGGGUAUGGCUGUUCGCCAUUUAAAGAGGUACGUGAGCUGGGUUUAAAACGUCGUGAGACAGUUUGGUCCCUAUCUGCCGUGGGCGUUGGAUAUUUGAAGGGGGCUGCUCCUAGUACGAGAGGACCGGAGUGGACGAACCUCUGGUGUACCGGUUGUCACGCCAGUGGCAUCGCCGGGUAGCUAUGUUCGGAAGAGAUAACCGCUGAAAGCAUCUAAGCGGGAAACUCGCCUUAAGAUGAGAUAUCCCUGGGGACUAGAUCCCCUUGAAGGGUCGUUCGAGACCAGGACGUUGAUAGGUCAGGUGUGUAAGCGCAGUAAUGCGUUCAGCUAACUGAUACUAAUUGCCCGUAAGGCUUGAUCCU
This 719-nucleotide ribosomal RNA is filed under the name Burkholderia cepacia. Its description in RNAcentral is "partial 23S ribosomal RNA". It matches the Rfam family "Bacterial large subunit ribosomal RNA", at positions 2212 to 2925 of the family's 2925-position model. Lineage: Bacteria; Pseudomonadati; Pseudomonadota; Betaproteobacteria; Burkholderiales; Burkholderiaceae. The record is from RNAcentral.